UACAGAGGGUGCGAGCGUUAAUCGGAAUUACUGGGCGUAAAGCGCACGUAGGCGGCUUGGUAUGUCGGGUGUGAAAUCCCCGGGCUCAACCUGGGAACUGCAUCCGAAACUGCCUUGCUAGAGUAUGGGAGAGGGAAGUGGAAUUUCCGGUGUAGCGGUGAAAUGCGUAGAUAUCUGGAGGAAUACCGGUGGCGAAGGCGGCAUCCUGGACCGGCAUUGACGCUGAUGAGCGAAAGCUAGGGGAGCGAACAGG
RNAcentral lists this ribosomal RNA (253 nucleotides) under uncultured bacterium. RNAcentral's name for it is "partial 16S ribosomal RNA". It matches the Rfam family "Bacterial small subunit ribosomal RNA", at positions 524 to 776 of the family's 1533-position model. The record is from RNAcentral.